AAUAAUUAAAAUAAAAGCUAAACUUAUAUAACCGAGCUCUCGUCGCACCGACCCACCGAGGAUUACUUGAAAAUAUUAGUUAAACAGAAAGUGAGUUUUCAAAACUUAGUAUAUACUGAAUAACUUUAAAUAGUUAAUGCAUAACAGAUAGAUUUAACAGAAUCAUAUUAGAGUAAUACAGAUACUGACAUAUAAUCCUACCCCCAUUUGCUACACACCAACUCUGACCAUCACAACACACCAUGUG
This 247-nucleotide long non-coding RNA is filed under the name Gossypium barbadense (sea-island cotton). Its description in RNAcentral is "long non-coding RNA (GBAR_LNC005278)". The record is from RNAcentral. Lineage: Eukaryota; Viridiplantae; Streptophyta; Magnoliopsida; Malvales; Malvaceae.